This 253-nucleotide ribosomal RNA is filed under the name uncultured bacterium. RNAcentral's name for it is "partial 16S ribosomal RNA". It matches the Rfam family "Bacterial small subunit ribosomal RNA", at positions 524 to 776 of the family's 1533-position model. The record is from RNAcentral.
UACGAAGGUUUCGAGCGUUAUCCGGAUUUAUUGGGUUUAAAGGGUGCGUAGGUGGACUAAUAAGUCAGUGGUGAAAGCCCGGAGCUCAACUCCGGAACUGCCAUUGAUACUGUUAGUCUUGAGUACAGUUGAGGUGGGCGGAAUGUGUCAUGUAGCGGUGAAAUGCUUAGAUAUGACACAGAACACCGAUUGCGAAGGCAGCUCACGAAGCUGUAACUGACACUGAGGCACGAAAGCGUGGGGAGCAAACAGG